CAACACAAUUUCGUUUGCCAAAAAGAGAAGCGCGUGGUUGGCUUUUUUAGCGGCACGCAAUUUGAUGCAAGUGAAUCCUAUUAAAAAAGUUAUAGAUAUAAGCAAAUCUUUAGUGUUUUGCGUAGUGGAAAUUGCGAAAUUGGUGUACAUCGCAUCGGGCUAGUGUACAACGCUCGCCUCGUGCGCUGCUUUCAUAAUGUCUGAUGCAAAUUCGAAUGCGAAUGGCAAUGGAAAUGAAAAUGCUCGAGCACAGGAUGAAGAAUUGCCAAACGACAUUGCUUUGGAUAAUGCCAUCUUUGCCGCAGCCUAUCAGAGCGAUGAUGAACCAGCUGAUGAGGAGCUGGAGGCUGACGCACAAAGCGAGGACAAUUCGAAUGAAGUAAACGCGGAGGGUGAAGAUGAUGCAGAGGAUGCCGAAGUAGAAGUUGAUGGAGAGGGCGAAGAAGGCGAUAAUGAUGGAGAUGGCGACGCAGCUGUUGAAGAUGAUGAUGCCGAUGCUGAUAAUGCCAAUGCAGAGGAUGACCCUGCGGCAGAUCGGCGUUCGGCAACCAAAAGAGAACUUACCCAAAUCAUAGAUAAAUGGGAGCAGGAGCAAACACAGAGUGGCUACGAUCCAGUGCCCACCCUCAGAAGUCUGGCGGAGAUCUUUGAGCGUGAAAAGGAUGUAUACAUGCGAAAAGAUCCCGAUCCACUGGACUUAAGACAUCCCUAUAGAACCGAUCCAAGUUGCCAAUAUGGGUUGAUGCUUAAACUGCUCUUUCGCAAGGAUCAGUUCAUGGGCAAACUGCUUAAUGACUAUCUGAGGGAAAACUACUUUAGUCGGCAAAACGUAAGUCGCAGCUCCCUUGAGCUAAACAUCAUUGCUUGUCGGCUAAUACUCGUCGUUAUGCCUGGCCUGGAGACAACAGCAGUAUUUCAGACUGCCGAGGAGGACGGCAUCAUCAGUCGUCUUUAUAACUGGGCAGAAGAUAGCAUUGAACCACUUCAAAGCUAUGCCACAGGUCUGUUAGCCGCUGCCAUGGAGGUUAGUGAUAUUGCGAUUAGUUGUCGCGACCAGAAUAUGCGAUUGGUGCCCAAGAUGAUCAAUCGCCUGCACAUGCUACUUGCCUGUAGUUGCAUGAGCAAAAAUGCCACAGGAGAAGCUAGCACUGCGCAUAACAACUCUGCGGACAGCAGUUUCUCGUCGGGUAUGCUCAGCUGGAUGGCUUGUGGCGCUGCCUCAGCGCCGCAGUCGCCGCAACAUAAUGGCGCUAGUGGUAGUGCAUCAAAUAUGUCGAUAUUGUUUGAGAACAGCCGGGACGCGUUUCCAUUGUCACGCUAUUAUAAGCGCAUGUAUAUACCGCUCCAUCCGCCCACUGCAGACACCAGCCAGAUGCUCAUCAUGCGCUUCCUAACCAGCCUAGGCGAGUACCAGGAAUUCCUGGGUAUGGCGUUUGGCAACAAUGUUAUGGUGCUUAUUUUUAGCCACCUGGAAGAGCUGGACAGACGAGACACUUGCCUUGCCUAUGAGGUGCUCAAGUAUCUUGCCUCCUUGCUCUGUCACAAGAAGUUUGCUUUAGAAUUUAUUUCCCAUGGUGGUCUGGAGCUACUUUUGAAUGUGCCACGACCAAGUUUGGCCACAACGGGUGUAUCCAUUGCAAUAUACUAUUUGGCGUACUGUGAGGAUGCCAUGGAACGCAUUUGCAGCAUGCCACGUCCAUUAAUUUCGAAUCUGGUGCGUUAUGCUCUAUGGAUACUGGGAAGGUGUCAUGAUUCGUCCAAAUGUCAUGCCACCAUGUUCUUCAGCUUGAGCUUUCAGUUUAAGGUCAUCCUCGAUGAGUUUGAUGCCCAGGAUGGCUUACGAAAACUCUACAAUGUUAUUUCCGUACUGAAAAUUCUGGAUCCCAGUCAUAAUGAUAGUGAAAAUGCCUCAGAUAUCAACGAGGAUGUUGAAUGUGCUUCCCGUCAGAUGGUUCGACACGUUUGUGUUGCUCUCAAGCGCUAUAUGGAAGCGCAUUUCUUUUACAAGUACAACAACUUCAUAUGCCAACACUACGCUACCUCGUCCUCAUCGUCGACGCACUACUUCAGCCAACAUCCGACAGUGGCAGCUAAACUCACAUUUGAUCAGUUGCAUGAGCAGAUAAGAACGCUCCAAGAGCAUACAUCAGUGCGGGCACAUUGGGAACCAGUGGAUCAGCUACUAAAACUAGGUGGAAUAACGAUGUUGUUGCGCAUCAUUGCCUUCAGCUACGAAUGGGUGAACAGUGGUCGCUCGGAGACCGUCCGUUCAGCUCUCGAUGUGCUUAGCGUAUGCUGUGUGAUACCGCGCGUCUAUCUGGUGCUUUGCGAACGCCUGCAGAUGCUAGACAAGACGACAACGUCUGGCUUCUGUUCGGUACUGGGAGCUGCUGCCGGCGAGAUCACAGCCGAUGCUGAAGUCUUAAAAUCUGCGCUGGCCGUCCUCUGUCAUUGUGUCUGCUCACCAAUAAUUCGCAAGGACAGUGGGAGCAGUCUAAUGAAAUUUGGCAACUCGUCGCGCAAGAACAAAGCUAAUCAAAAGUAUGCCGAGGAACUGAUUGAAAAGGUCUGGGAGUCUGUGUGCUCCAACAAUGGUAUUGUGGUGUUGCUAUCACUCAUGCAAACCAAAGGACCCAUUACAGAUGCCGACUGCAUACGCGGCAUGGCCUGUCGAGCAUUGGCCGGUUUGGCGCGCUCCGAUCGUGUGCGUCAAAUUGUUGGCAAACUACCGUUGUUUGCCAGUGGACAGCUGCAAGCUCUUAUGCGAGAUCCCAUAUUGCAAGAGAAGCGAGCGGAGCAUGUGCUCUUCCAAAAGUAUGCACUGGAGCUGCUCGAACGCAUUUCUGGCAAGACAAAACCACUGAACAACCCUCUGGAUCCAUCGCUGACUAACAUGCACAAGGCUAACGUAAUUGCUCAGACGCGCAUUCAGUACAACGAACAGCAAUUGUAUCAGCUAAUCUUCGAGCACCUGGAGAGCAAAGGACUUGGUCAAACGGCUCAGAUGCUGCAGCGUGAGGUCGGAUUGCCAUUGCAGACGACAACAACACGCAACUUUCAUCAGUCGCCAUUCGACUAUAAAGGUUUCUCCGGCAUUAGUUCAAUAUCACGUAGUCGACUGCGCAACCGUAUGCAAGAUGUGAAUGCGGCUAUCAUGUCUAGUGGGGAGCCAAGUCGCAGUCAAGCAGACGAUACAUCGCUCCACUGUAGCAGCAGUGGCAAUGCAUCCACGAGCGGAUCGGCUACUGCACCAGGCAUACCUAACUUCAAUCAUCUCAGCGCACAGACGCCCAUAAAGCUGAGAAAGACGGAGCGUGCCACAUCCUCCGUCAGUCGUUCACUACAGAAGCAAAUUAGUCUGGGGAAUGCAGAGUCCAGUUCCGUAGGAUUGACAGAUGACCUGGCUAUCUCGCCAGCGCUGUAUCCCAAGCGGGUCACUCUUAACAGCAUCGUGACUGAGUAUCUGACGAAUCAGCAUUCACUGUGCAACAAUCCGGUGACAACAUGCCCACAAUUCGAUCUGUACGAGCCGCACAAGUGUCCCGAUCCACGUCCCAGCCGUCUACUUAGCUCCAACUACAAUCUGACUUCCAGACACUUUCGUACUCAGGCAGGAUUUAAUACCGCACGAUUCGAUCGUCGUCAUGUUCAUACACACUUUGCACCAUGGCGUACAAUACGCUCUGCUGACUAUGAUGAUCUGGAGUUCACUUGCUGUGACGUUGUGGGCAAUUAUCUUAUUGUUGGCACACAUCAGGGCGAAAGCAAAGUGUUCAACAUGAACGACGGCGUGGAACAGUUCUCCUCCAUAUGUCACACAUAUGGCGUGGAUGCAAUACAGGCGAAUCGAGGCGGCGAUCUGGUACUGACCACCAGUCUGUGGCGUAUUCGUACUACAAUUCUGUGGUCCAUUACCGACAAUGAAUUCCGCUCCAAGUUGCGGCUGCCCGAUGUCGGAUACUGCGAGUUUAGUCAGACAACUCAGGAUCGUUUGCUGGGCACACACAAUGAUUGUGCGGUACUAUAUGAUAUUAAUACGGGUUCAAAAGUCUCAACCUUUACACCGACCAUACCAAAUCAGUACACAAAGAAUCGCGCGACGCUGUGCCGUACAGAUGAGUUGCUGUUAUCAGAUGGCGUGCUUUGGGACGUUCGCUCCGGCAAAGAAAUUCAUAAGUUUGAUAAGUUCAAUCAGUGUAUAUCGGGUGUAUUUCAUCCUAACUGCCUGGAGAUCAUUGCCAACACAGAAGUUUGGGAUCUACGCACGUUUCAUUUGCUGCAAACGGUGCCGGUGUUGGACCAAAGGAACUGCACAUUCUCGCCUAUGCAUGUGAUAUAUGGGGCCAGUUUAGGUGCCGAUAGAGACCACGAUAUGGAGACGACCACCUAUGAUACCAGCUUUAAUGUACUCGAUGCAUACGACUAUUCGAGCAUCGCAACCAUUGAUGUGAAGCGCAACAUUAACGAUCUAAGCGUUAGUGCAAAUGGUAGCCUAAUUGCCGUUGUAGAGGACCACACCGGUUACGAUUCAAAGCAGGAGACCUAUGUGAAGAUCUAUGCCGUUGGUGUUAAAAAGAGCGAGCGCUCGGAAGAGGUGCGUGCGGUUAAGGACCUGGCCGUCGAUGAGGGCGUCGUUCGAAGCGGCGGCGGCGCGUCCGAGGAACCGUCACCGCCCGUCAAUGCACCAAGCGGUGACUCUCCGCUAAUUCGCAUCGUCGAAGCGGCGGCUCGCGCCCAUACGCCAGCGUUGAAUUUUGCUUUGCUCGAUGCAGAUGCCGAAGCCGAUGUUGAUGCUAUUGCAGAUGGCAUUGGUGUUGGUCUAGGUGUUGGUGUGGGUGUCGGUCCAGGUGUAGGCGGUGUUGACGACGGCAAUGAGGCACGCGCCCGUCGCCCGAGCCGCCUAAGGCCUGCGUCACAUGCGAAUGCAAAUCUGGCUCGCCAGCAUGCUCCCAACAGCUCAAUUGUUGGUGUGCGACGGCGAGCACGUACACUGGGCGGUGCAGGCGCGCCAAUCGAUCUCAGAACGCUCAUGCGGCAGGUGGAUGAUAUUGAAUUUAAUAUUAUGUCUAUGCUUGCAGGAAGAUGAUGAGGAGGUGCCCGAAUCCAAUGAGGAGGGCUCUGAUACGGGAUCGGAUACGGGCUCUGAAAAUGCAUUUGCAAUCGGUCCGAAUUUCAUGGGUUUCCCGUUACGUAGCCAUCGCAAUCGGAAUGUCAUUAGUGAAUCCUCC
RNA transcript from Drosophila nasuta, 5228 nucleotides. It is a transcript of the gene named LisH and WD40 domain-containing protein mahjong, with no coding region annotated. Lineage: Eukaryota; Metazoa; Arthropoda; Insecta; Diptera; Drosophilidae. The transcript is spliced from 9 exons. The record is from RefSeq and is a predicted model, not a curated record.